AGAUUGAACGCUGGCGGCAGGCCUAACACAUGCAAGUCGAGCGGUAGAGAGGUGCUUGCACCUUUUGAGAGCGGCGGACGGGUGAGUAAUGCCUAGGAAUCUGCCUAGUGGUGGGGGAUAACGGUUCGGAAACGGACGCUAAUACCGCAUACGUCCUACGGGAGAAAGCGGGGACCUUCGGGCCUCGCGCCAUUAGAUGAGCCGUAGGUCGGAUUAGCUAGUUGGUGAGGUAGUGGUCUACACCGAAGGUCGACGAUCCGUAACUGGUUCUGAGGAGAGUGAUCA
This 285-nucleotide ribosomal RNA is filed under the name uncultured soil bacterium. RNAcentral's name for it is "partial 16S ribosomal RNA". It matches the Rfam family "Bacterial small subunit ribosomal RNA", at positions 26 to 306 of the family's 1533-position model. The record is from RNAcentral.